AGAGUUAAACAGUACGUGAAAUUGUUGAAAGGGAAACGAUUGAAGUCAGUCGUACCGAUGGGUAAUCAGCCUCUCGGGCGUGAUUUUGUGGCUAUGAAGAGACUUUAUGGUCGCUAUCUUUGCGUCUCUGGGGUGUAUUUGCUCGUAUGGUAGGUUAACAUCAAUUUCGGGCGUCAUAAAAUAACGGGAGGAAUGUAGCUUCUUUUUGAAGUGUUAUAGCCUCUGGUAGAUGUGAUGACCGGGAUUGAGGAUUGCAACGGAUACCCUUUGGGCUACCCGCCUGGUCUCUGAUCGUCGCUCUGGUGCCGAAAGCGUGCUUAUGGUAUCAAAGUUUGAAGGUCAAAAGGUUAGAACGGGAUAAAUCCGUUAAGGAUGUUGACGUAAUGACUUUAAACGA
Molecule: unclassified non-coding RNA, 397 nt
Filed under: uncultured Glomeromycotina
Lineage: Eukaryota; Fungi; Glomeromycota
Description: sequence contains 28S rRNA gene
Source: RNAcentral